UGCGUAGGCGGACUAAUAAGUCAGUGGUGAAAUCUUUCGGCUCAACCGAGAAACUGCCAUUGAUACUGUUAGUCUUGAGUUCGGUUGAGGUAGGCGGAAUGUGUAGUGUAGCGGUGAAAUGCUUAGAUAUUACACAGAACACCAAUUGCGUAGGCAGCUUACUAGACCGACACUGACGCUGAGGCACGAAAGCGUGGGGAGCGAACAGGAUUAGAUACCCUGGUAGUCC
Molecule: ribosomal RNA, 229 nt
Filed under: uncultured bacterium
Lineage: Bacteria
Description: partial 16S ribosomal RNA
Rfam family: Bacterial small subunit ribosomal RNA
Source: RNAcentral